Thunnus maccoyii (southern bluefin tuna) is the source of this 666-nucleotide long non-coding RNA. RefSeq lists it as uncharacterized. The record is from RefSeq and is a predicted model, not a curated record. The transcript has 6 exons. NCBI's taxonomy places the organism in Eukaryota, Metazoa, Chordata, Actinopteri, Scombriformes, Scombridae.
GUUUGGCACAAGACCUCCCGAGCAGGACAUGUAACCCACAAAAUGUAGCCAGUUUCCAGGGCUGCUCACAGCUUUGCUUCUUGUGAGAUUUAACGAAGAUGAUGGUCUUAAAAUGGUUUUACCACAAGAAACUCUCCCACAAGGAAUAUACCUGUGGUCUUCCCCCUGAGGCCUCACACUGCCAUUCUGAGGAGUAUACACCUAAAUGAUAGAUCCAGAGGGUUUACCACAGAUCAUGGGGAAGACAAUACAGAUAUGCUGAGACAAGUUGUUUCUCAGCCAAUAAAUCGCUCCAGGGAUAGACUGAUGGAUUAUAAACAUGUCCUCACCUGAUGAAAGGUCUUGAGAUGGCCAGGACCGUCCGGAUGAACCAUGUUGGCAUCUCUUCAGCCAGCUGAUGCCGGGCAUCUUCCUGCGAGGAGUAGCUCCAUUCAGGUACUGCCUGAUGACCUGCAUGUCAAUCCGUUGCUCCUGGUCACCGAUGAUCACUGUUCGCCAGAGACGACCGGAUGAGUCUCUCUCUUCCUCACUUUCACCUGGAAGACGUUUAGCGGAGGCCACAGGAGUGUCAUCUAGGAACAAGCUCGUUGCCAUUGUUGAUGAACUCCAGCGAGUCGGUCUCAUCCGGAGUCUCGAUGUCAUCCACGUUGAUGUCCAGGUCGUCGG